Non-coding RNA from Drosophila kikkawai, 7192 nucleotides. Lineage: Eukaryota; Metazoa; Arthropoda; Insecta; Diptera; Drosophilidae. The record is from RefSeq and is a predicted model, not a curated record.
UUUGUACAACACUAAAACUGUCAAUCGAAUAGAAGUUAGAAUUGACUCGCCCGCAAGCAUAUGCGUAUUAUUUAAAUUUAAUCAUGAAAAUAUCAAGUGCAAAGAAUUUACCGGAGGAACAAGGCGGAUCUUCGCAAGGGUCAUUUAUUGACACCAAUUCUAUCAGCGGCGACUCGGACAUAGACGCUGCUAGUGUAGCGGGUGAUCGAAAUCAGAUGAUUGAAGAACUAAAGAAAACGAUAAAGGGGAAUCACAGCCAAAUCUCGGAACUCGAGGGUAAAUUGAAAGUUACUGAAAUACAAUUAGAGUGUCAGAAAGAUAAAGUCAAGGACAAGGACGAGGUAAUUAGAGUACUGCAAAACUCUAUUGACCUGAUCACAAAAACAAGUGAACUAGCAAUAAAACAAUUGCAGAAGUCCGAAGCUGAAGUUGUCACUUGUAAUAAUGGUAAUAAUUUGCAAAAAGAGAAUGAUUCACUCGAAUCUAUAGAUGAAAUGAAAUCAAAAGUUAAAGAAAAUAAUGUGGACAAUUUCGGAGCUCAGGAAUUGCAGGAAUCGAAAUGCCAAGCCAAAGAAGAUUCUGCUGAUUCCCACGAAGUGGACGAUAAUUUAGAGAAAUUCCAGGAACAAUUUGAUAAAUACAAAGAACAAAAUGAGUCACUAGAGUUGAAAAAUUCUCAAAUGAAGCUCGAACUUGACGAAUUGAAAUCUAAAAUGAUUAAAUCCCAAAAGAUUGAAGAUAGUCUAAGGAAGCAAGUUUCUGAACUAGAAAAUAAUUUCCUCGGCGUUUCUGCUAAACUCAAGGAAAGUAGUCAAAAACUCGCUGAUAGUGUUCCAAACAAGCAAGAAGCCGUGCCUCUAAAUAAUACCAAAAAUCCAAAAAUGAAAGUAAUUGAACAAGAUGGCAUGGAGCCCUUUAUGGCGGUGAUUGAGGAUAUUCCCUCGGCUUGGUCAUCCGGUUGGAUAGUUAUUCAACGGCGUAUCAAUGGAAACUCAAGUUUGUCUGCAAAAAGAACUGAUUUUGAAAAUGGAUUUGGGAAUACAAACGCAAGCUUUUGGCUUGGCUUAAACCUAAUACACAAAUUAACAAAAAGCCAACGGCAUGAGUUAUACAUUCAAGUUGUGGAUCACGAUGACGUAACUGCAUAUGCAAGGUAUGAUCACUUUGAAGUUGGAAGUAAGAAGGAAGAAUACAAGAUCAAGUCUCUUGGUUCAUAUUCGGGAAACGCUGGCGAUGCUUUCCGGAGUCUUGAGAACGCUCCUAUUAAGGCUUGGGAUUGCGGAACUACAUACAGUUAUUCCUGGUGGGAAGCCACACCGAUGAAUUGCAACUUGAACGGUAUGUAUAAUACACCGCAGAAGUACGGAUUUUAUUGGGGCCGCUUGUCUCUGGGGAAUAAGGAAUGUCAUCUAAAGUCCUGUCAAAUGUUGAUAAGGCCAAGAAGCAAGUAAUCCUAAUAUUUGACCCACAAAUUUUCUAACAAGUUAAGUUGAAUGUUUUUGAUAAGUUAAAUUGUCCCCAGUGGCUUUCAACAACCAAUGUGCCACGGUCAAUGUGAACCUGCUUAAGUUUAAUUUACGAUAAAUAAGAUUUAAAAACCUAUUUCUAUGAAAGAAACUGUUAAAUUAAGAAAAAAAACAACAUCUUUAAUUUGUACUUCAUAAAGAGGAUACAUCCAUUAAAUUUCGAAUAAAUCGAAUGAGUUCGAAUAAGUCCCUAAGCGAAUAUGUUUAAAAACCAUGAAGUUAUAAUUUUUGUUCCAUUCAUCCAAGAAAAUAAACUUAAAAAAGAUUAAAUUUUAUUUGUCUAAUUAAAUUUCCAAUUAUAAUAAAAUAUUCUAGCCAACGUAAUUUUCAAUUUAAAAAUCGGUCACACCUUGAAUUUAAAAACAAAUACAUAGUUAAGCUGGUGCACUAAAAUGGAGAAUGUGUUACAAAAGCGUUAGCCACUUCCCGCUUAGCAAAAUUGAUUCAUCUGUUAUUUGGCACCGGAUCCGCCAGCGUCUCCUCGAUCAAGAGCGGCGAGCUCCAGCGCAUCAGGAAGUACGCGGAACCAGACUUGUCAUUCGUCCCGGACAACCGGUUGCCGCCGAAGGGCGUCAAUCCAAGGUGGCUGCCAGUGCAGCGUUCGUUCACAUAGAGAUUGCUGGCCGACAUGCGCAGCUGGUUGAGACAGUGAAGAAUCACCUCGUCCCGCUUGGCGAAUAUGGAUCCGGAGAGAGCAUAUCUGGACUGGUUGGCGGUCAGCUUGAGGGCAUCUGCGAAUGAGUCGUCCGGGUAGACAAAGACCGGCAAAAAGGGUCCGACAAAGGGUUUGCUUAGCAGCGGGUCCAAUGGAUCGUCCACCCUGACUAUCGUCGGCUGGACAAACCUUCCUAUGGUGUCGUCGUUGUAUUAAAAUACCAGUACUUUCUUUGGUGCGGCCACACUACUCAUCGAAGGAAAAUACCAAAUAUUUAAAUUAUUUUAAAUAUUUUAAAUUUGAGUGAUUUAGCUUUCUAGAAUAUAAGACAUUAUAGGGCUUACUUUAACAUGCUUAGAAAACUAUUCUUGGGUAUUUAUUUUUCUUUGACUUAAUGAAGAAAAUGCAGCACUGUCAGAAUAUUCAUCGAAAAAAUACCCGAUGCACUUAUAGUUCGAUUACAUAUGUAAGUCGUUGUACAACACUAAAACGUGUCAAUCGAAGUAAGAAAUUGCAAUUGAAAUAUUUAAACAUGAAAAUAUCAAGUGCAAACAAAUUACCGGAGGAACAAGGCGGAUCUUCGCAAGGGUCACUUAUUGACACUAAUUCUAUAAGACAUAUUUGCAUAGUUUAUCCCCAAAAACCUAAUUUCGAAUUUCAGAUCAGCGGCGAGUCGGACAUAGACGCUGCUAGUGCAGCGGGUGAUCAAAAUCAGGUGAUUGGAGAACUAAAGAAAACGAUUAAAGAGAAACAAAGCCAAAUCUCGGAACUCGAGGGCAGAUUGAAAGUUACUGAAAUACAAUUAGAGUGUCAGAAGGAUAAAAUCAACUUAUACGAAGUUAUAGUCAAGGACAAGGACGAUGUAAUUAGAGUACUGCAAAACUCAAUCGACCUGAUCACAAAAACAAGUGAACUAGCAAUCAAACAAUUGCAGAAGCCCGAGGCGGGAAUUGUCAGUUGUAAUAAUGCUAAUAAUUUGCAACAAGAAAAUGAUUUACUGGAAUCUAUAGAUGAAAUGAAAUCAAAAGUUAAAGAAAAUAGUGUGGACAAUUCCGAAGCUCAGCUGCAGGAAUUCGAAUGCCAAGCCAAUGAAGAUUCUGCUGAUUCCCACGAAGUGGACUAUAAUUUAGAUAAAUUCCAGGAACAACUUGAUAAAUGCAAGGAAGAAAAUGAGUUAUUAGAGUUGAAAAAUUCUCAACAGAAGCUCGAACUUGACGAAUUGAAAUCUAAAAUGAUUGAAUUUCAAAAGAUUGAAGAGGGUCUAAGGAAGCAAGUUUCUGAACUAGAAAAUAAUUUUCUCAGCGUUUCUGCUAAACUCAAGGAAAGUAGUGAAAAACUGGCUGAGUAUAGCUUAAACAUUGAUAGCUCUUCAGACAAGCAAGAAAUCGUGCUGCUAAAUAAUUCCAAAAAUCCAAAAGUGAAGUUAAUUGAACGAGAUGGCUUGGAGCCCUUUAUAUCGGUGAUUGAGGAUAUUCCGUCGGCUGGGUCCGGUUGGAUAGUUAUUCAACGACGUAUCGAUGGAAAGUCAAGGUUGUUUGCAAAUGGUAAAGAUGUUUUUGAAAAUGGAUUUGGGGAUACAAACGCAAGCUUUUGGCUUGGCUUAAACCUAAUACAUAAAUUAACAACAAGCCAACGACAUGAGUUAUACAUUCAAGUUGUGGAUUGCGAUGACGUAACAGCUUAUGCUAGGUAUGAUCACUUUGAAAUUGGAAGUAAAGAGGAAAACUACAAGAUAAAGUCUCUUGGUUCAUAUUCGGGAAACGCUGGCGAUGCCUUCCGAAGUCUUGAGAACGCUCCUAUUGAGACUUGGGAGUUUACUGAUGGAUACAGUUAUUCCUGGUGGGGAGCCACACCGACGAAUUGCAACUUGAACGGUUAUCAUAAUUACUUGAGCGAGUACCGAUUUUAUUGGGGCCGUUUGUCUCUGGGGAAUAAGGAAUGUCAUCUAAAGUCCUGUCAAAUGUUGAUAAGGCCAAAAACAAAGUAAUCCAAAUAUUUGACUCACAAAUUUUAUAACAAUUAUUCGCAGUAAUUAUGCAUAAGUCUUAUAAAUGUUUCAAGUUAAGUUAAUGUGCCACUGUCAAUGUGAACCUGCUUAAGUGUAAUCUAUGAUAAAUAAGAUUCAAAAACUAUUGUUAUGAAAUAAGCGGUUAAAUUAAGAAAAAAAAAAACAUCUUUAAUUUGUACUUCAUAAAGAGAAAACAUCCAUUAAAUUUAGAAUAAGUCGAAUGAGUUCGAAUAAGUCCUUAAGCAAAUAUGUUUAAAAACCAUAAAGUUUUAAUUUUUGUUCCAUUUAUCCAAGAAAAUAAACUUAAAAAAGAUUAAAUUUUAUUUGUCUAAUUAAAUUUCUAAUUAUAAUAAAAUAUUCUAGCCAACGUAAUUUUCAAUCUAAAAAUCGGUCACACCUUGAAUUUAAAAACAAAUAGUUAAGCUGGUGCACUAAAAUGGAGAAUGUGUUACAAAAGCGUUAGCCACUUCCCGCUUAGCAAAGUUGAUUUACUAUUAUCUGUUAUUCCGGACGGGAUCCGCCACCGUCUCCUCGAUCAGCAGCGGGGAGCUCCAGCGCAUCAGGAAGUACGCGGAACCGGACUUGUCAUUCGUCCCGGACAAUCGGUUGCCGCCGAAGGGCGUCAAUCCCAGGUGGCUGCCAGUGCAGCGUUCGUUCACAUAGAGAUUGCUGGCCGACAUGCGCAGCUGGUUGAGGCAGUGAAGGAUCACCUCGUCCCGCUUGGCGAAUAUGGAUCCGGAGAGAGCAUAUCUGGACUGGUUGGCGGUCAGCUUGAGGGCAUCUGCGAAUGAGUUGUCCGGGUAGACGAACACCGGCAAAAAGGGUCCAACAAAGGGUUCGCUCAGCAGCGGGUCCAGUGGAUCGUCCACUCUGACUAUCGUCGGCUGGACGAACCUUCCUAUGGUGUCGUCGUUGUAUUAAAAUACCAGUAUUUUCUUUGGUGCGGCCACACUACUCAUCGAAGGAAAUUAGCAAAUAUAUAAAUUAUUUUAAAUAUUUUAAAUUUGAGUGAUUUAGCUUUCUAGAAUAUAAGACAUUUUAGGGCUUACUUUAAUAUUUUUAGAAAAAUAUUCUUGUGUUUUUAUUUUUACUUGAAUUUUUGAAGAAAAUACAGUACUGUCAGAGUAUUCACGAAAAAUACCCGAUGCACUUAUAGUUCGAUUACAUAUGUAAGUCUUUGUAAACACUAAAUCGUUUCAAUCGAAUAGAAGUGAGAAUUGCCAGCGAGCCAAGCAUAUUUAAUAUUAUUUAAACAUGAAAAUAUCAAGUGCAAACAAUUUACCGGAGGAACUCAGCGGAUCUUCGCAAGGGUCGUUUAUUGACACCAAUUCUAUCAGCGGCGACUCGGACAUAGACGCUGCUAGUGCAGCCGGUGAUCAAAAUCAGGUGAUUGGAGAACUAAAGAAAACGAUUAAAGAGAAUCAAAGACAAAUCUCGGAACUCGAGGGCAGAUUGAAUGUUACUGAAAUACAAUUAGAGUGCCAGAAGGAUAAAGUCAAGGACAAGGACGAGGUAAUUAGAGUAUUGCAAAACUCAAUCGAACUGAUCACAAAAACAAGUGAACUAGCAAUUAAAGAAUUGCAAAAGUCCGAAGCAGUCGCUUGUAAUAAUGGUAGUCAUUUACAAAAAGAAAAUGAUUUACUCGAAUCUAUAGAUGAAAUCAAAUCAAAAGUUAAAGAUAAUAAUGUGGACAAUUUCGGAGCUCAGCUGCAGGAAUUCGAAUGUCAAGCCAAACAAGAUUCUGCUGAUUCCCACGAAGUGGACGAUAAUUUAGAGAAAUUCCAAGAACAACUUGAUAAAUGCAAAAAACAAAAUGAGUUAUUAGAGUUGAAAAAUUCUCAACUAAAGGUCGAACUUGACGAAUUGAAAUCUAAAAUGAUUGAAUCCCAAAAGAUUGAAGAGGGUUUAAGGAAGCAAGUUUCUGAACUAGACAAUAAUUUUCUCAGCGUUUCUGCUAAACUCAAGGAAAGUAGUGAAAAACUGGCUGAGUUUAAGCUAUUCAGUGAUAGCUUCCCAGACAAGCAAGAAACCGUUGUCCUAAAUAAUACCAAAAAUCCAAAAUUAAAAGUAAUUGAACGAGAUGGCUUGGAGCCCUUUAUUUCGGUGAUUGAGGCUAUUCCAUCAGCUUGGUCAUCCGGUUGGAUAGUUAUUCAACGGCGUAUCAAUGGAAACUCAAGUUUGUCUGCAAGUAGAACUGAUUUUGAAAAUGGAUUUGGGGAUAUAACCGCAAGCUUUUGGCUUGGCUUAAACCUAAUACACGAAUUAACAACAAGCCAACGGCAUGAGUUAUACAUAAAAGUUGUGGAUUGCGAUGGCGUAACAGCAUAUGCUAGGUAUGAUCACUUUGAAAUUGGAAAUAAAGAGGAAAAUUAUAAGAUCAAGUCUCUUGGUUCAUAUUCGGGAAACGCUGGCGAUGUUUUCCGAAGUCAUGAGAGCGCUUCUAUUAAGUCUUACAAUAAUGGACAAUACUGGCAUUCCUGGUGGGAAGCCUCACCGACGAAUUGCAACUUGAACGGAAUGUAUAAUACAUCGGACCAGUACGGAUUUUUUUGGGGCCGUUUGUCUCUGGGAAGUAAGAAUUGUCAUCUAAAGUCCUGUCAAAUGUGGAUAAGGCCAAAAAUCAAGUAAUCCAAAUAUUUGACUCACAAAAGGUCAAACAAUUAAUUCAGCAUAAGUCUUAUAAAUAUUUCAAGUUAAGUUAAAUGUUUUGAUAAGUUAAAUUGUCCCCAGUGGCUUUCAACAACCAAUGUGCCACGGUCAAUGUGAACCAUGCUUAUGUUUAAUCUACGAUAAAUAAGAUUCAAAAACCUAUUUUUAUAAAAGAAACUGUUAAAUUAAGAAAAAAAACAACAUCUUUAAUUUGUACUUCAUAAAGAGGAUACAUCCAUUAUAUUUAGAAUUAGUCGAAUGAGUUCGAAUAAGUCCCUAAGCGGAUGUUUAAAAACCAUGAAGUUAUAAUUUUUGUUCCAUUUAUCCAAGAAAAUAAACUUAAAAAAGAUUAAA